CCUACGGGGGGCUGCAGUGGGGAAUAUUGGACAAUGGGCGAAAGCCUGAUCCAGCCAUGCCGCGUGUGUGAAGAAGGCCUUCGGGUUGUAAAGCACUUUCAGUGGGGAAGAAAGCCUUGGGGCUAAUACCCUCGAGGAAGGACAUCACCCACAGAAGAAGCACCGGCUAACUCCGUGCCAGCAGCCGCGGUAAUACGGAGGGUGCGAGCGUUAAUCGGAAUUACUGGGCGUAAAGCGCGCGUAGGCGGUCUGAUAAGCCGGUUGUGAAAGCCCCGGGCUCAACCUGGGAACGGCAUCCGGAACUGUCAGGCUAGAGUGCAGGAGAGGAAGGUAGAAUUCCCGGUGUAGCGGUGAAAUGCGUAGAGAUCGGGAGGAAUACCAGUGGCGAAGGCGGCCGUCUGGACUGACACUGACGCUGAGGUGCGAAAGCGUGGGUAGCAAACAGGAUUAGAUACCCGGGUAGUC
Molecule: ribosomal RNA, 465 nt
Filed under: Vreelandella stevensii
Lineage: Bacteria; Pseudomonadati; Pseudomonadota; Gammaproteobacteria; Oceanospirillales; Halomonadaceae
Description: partial 16S ribosomal RNA
Rfam family: Bacterial small subunit ribosomal RNA
Source: RNAcentral